CCAGAGACGCACAGCGCGACCUCCCGGACGAGGGAGCCGUACCCGGUCCAUGACAAGACGGCCUGAA
Corynebacterium xerosis is the source of this 67-nucleotide non-coding RNA. Lineage: Bacteria; Bacillati; Actinomycetota; Actinomycetes; Mycobacteriales; Corynebacteriaceae. The record is from Rfam.